Molecule: long non-coding RNA, 857 nt
Filed under: Pan troglodytes (chimpanzee)
Lineage: Eukaryota; Metazoa; Chordata; Mammalia; Primates; Hominidae
Description: lncRNA (ENSPTRG00000053295.1)
Source: RNAcentral
CAGCAUAUCUUUUUAAAGAAAUAUUUUCCAGCCAAAUGGUGCAGCAGAGGACUUCCAGGAAUUUGUUCUUGUUCUGUAUCAAAGCUUUUUACAUGCUGCACCAAUACUGGGUCUAGCUGCAGCUUGGCUGGGUCGCAGAGGCUGAAGAGGGAGCUAAGCCUGGAGAGCUGGGUUAAGUCAGACAGACCCAAAAUCUCUUACACUGAGUCUCAACUUAUUGUCCCUUGUGACUCCAAGGUCAACUUCCCUUCCCUUUUGGCUGAGGAUCCAGGUCUGGCUAAAUGCAUGAGGAUUAAAUUCCUUAUCUAUCAGGAUCCCAUUGGCUCUCAGAUGCUUUGUGGUUCCCUCCAUCCAGAAGAUGAACUACUCCUUUUGACCGAGACUGGCCUAAUGUGGCUGAUUUUUUUUGCUGAGAAGAUGCUGCUCACUUAUGCCCCCCAUCUUUCAACUGUCUCACUGGCCACUCCACAUUCUCCCUAAUGGGGGCCCUGCAGCAGCCUCUGCUUGGCCCCCCUGCCUCCCAUCUGGCCCCCUCCAACCCACUCUCCACAUUGCAGCCAGAUUUAGUUUUUUUGCCAAAUCCAGCUAUGUCACUCGCCUAUCUAAAAUACACUUUUGGCUUUUCUCUGCCAAUUGAAUAAAACUCCAAAUUUCUUUUUUUUUUAAUUAUACUUUAAGUUCUAGGGUACAUGUGCACAACAUGCAGGUCUGUUACAUAUGUAUACAUGUGCCAUGUUGGUGUGCUGCACCCGCCAACUCGUCAUUUACAUUAGGUAUAUCUCCCAAUGCUAUCCCUCCUCCAUCCCCCCACCCCACGACAGGCCCUGGUGUGUGAGGUUCCCCACCCUGUGUCCAAG